ACGAGGGGCUCGGCCGGGGCCGCCGCCGGGUCCCUCCCUUUCUCCCUCCCUCUGUCCCCCCGCCCGCCGGCGGGGCUGCCGCGGGGGCCGGCGGGGGCACGAUCCCUUAUGUAAUGCGGGGUGGGACCUCUUCUGACAUGUGAUCUACCCUGAGCUACUUUGACUCCUACGAUGACAAUGUUAUCACUGCCACAUCUCUGGGAACCAGUUAUUCACAAGUACACGGACUGUCUACUUAAGAAGCUGAGAGUGAGUUAGGAACAUUGAUGAAGCCUCUAUUCUGUGAGGUGGGUAUGUGUUUUUUAUUACGAUUUUGAAAAAGCAUAAAAAAUUCAAACCAUUUGC
RNAcentral lists this long non-coding RNA (345 nucleotides) under Junco hyemalis (dark-eyed junco). RNAcentral's name for it is "lncRNA (ENSJHYG00000016138.1)". The record is from RNAcentral. Lineage: Eukaryota; Metazoa; Chordata; Aves; Passeriformes; Passerellidae.